Molecule: unclassified non-coding RNA, 332 nt
Filed under: soil metagenome
Description: partial contains 5.8S ribosomal RNA, internal transcribed spacer 2, and large subunit ribosomal RNA
Rfam family: 5.8S ribosomal RNA (bases 1-120)
Source: RNAcentral
GAUGAAGAACGCAGCGAAAUGCGAUAAGUAGUGUGAAUUGCAGAAUUCAGUGAAUCAUCGAAUCUUUGAACGCACAUUGCGCCCUUUGGUAUUCCUUAGGGCAUGCCUGUUCUAGCGUCAUUUAAACCUUCAAGCUAAGCUUGGUGUUGGGUGACUGUCCGCUUCACUGCGGACUCGCCUCAAAAUUAUUGGCGGCCGGUACAUUGGCUUCGAGCGCAGCAGAAACGCGAACUCGGGCCCGUCGUAUUGGCUCCCAGAAGCUAUCUUCACAAUUUUGACCUCGGAUCAGGUAGGGAUACCCGCUGAACUUAAGCAUAUCAAUAAGCGGAGGA